Molecule: regulatory RNA element, 102 nt
Organism: Clostridium sp. DL-VIII
Lineage: Bacteria; Bacillati; Bacillota; Clostridia; Eubacteriales; Clostridiaceae
Rfam family: Purine riboswitch aptamer
About the family: Riboswitches are metabolite binding domains within certain messenger RNAs that serve as precision sensors for their corresponding targets. Allosteric rearrangement of mRNA structure is mediated by ligand binding, and this results in modulation of gene expression.
Source: Rfam
AUAAAUGAUGAAAUUUUUACCCGUAUAUGCUUGGAAAUAAGGUCUAAGUGUCUCUACCAGACUACCGUAAAUUGUCUGACUAUGGGUGUUUAUAGGUAUUUU